GAGAAGCUGGCUGCAAGGGCUGGGCUGGCCAAGGCUGGGGCAGUUGCAAAGGGUGGGAGCGCAGCAAGCGGAGAAAUACCCCUGAGUCAGCACUGGUGCAUUGGGAGGUGUCCCGGAGAGCCUGGCCCACGACAUGGACAGGGUGUCCGAAACGUACGCCCCUCUGUAUCACCCUCUAGUCAUGCACCCCCAUCUAAUUCUGAAACCAACUCUAGCCUCAUUUUUUCCCCUCCACGAUGAUGGGCUGUAAUGCACCCUGCUCUGAGGCCUGGGGGGAAUGGAAAGACAGAAUUCUCUUUCAAGCCCAACCCAGGCCCGGGGAACCCCCUAGAUGUUACUGUGGGGUCACAGACAAGGCCGUGGGGAUUUGACACGUGGGCAGGGACAAGGGCAACCCCAAAGCUAGUGGAUCUGACAUGGGGGUGACUGGGUGGUGUGGUGGGCAUCAUUUCAUUCACUGCAGUGGAUUUGCUGCCUGGGAAAUGCAACCCCCACCGUCCGAGGUCCGCUCCUGUCUUACUAGCUACUUAGCAGCCAGCUUCCCUGUUCUGCUCCCUGAGAGAUGAAGGUGUCCCAGGCUAAGAUCCCUCCAUCACCUGCCCAUCCCUGAGGGUCUCAUGUCACCUCAGCGGCUGGCACCUCCUCUUCCCAAACACCCCGUGGUGGCUUUGGCCCAGACAGUGCCUGCCUGAGGGAAGGAGGCCUCUGGCCAUAUGAAGACCGUAGAGGCCAGGGCGGCCAUCCCUUGUUCAUUUCAUCCUGUGUAGUUCCUUUCACAAGCCCCACUGGAGUCAUCUGCUCUUCCCCGGGACCCAUUUGUGAAGUUCCUGUCUCCCUUGACCUCCCCGUAGGGAACCAGAGACCAGUGGGCAGGGACAGAGUGCUGGGGGCCAACAGUGGCAUUUGCUCUGCAGCCCUCAACCAGCAGGCCUCUCCCUUGGCUAAUUCCAGGCAGGAAGGACACUCGUUUGUCAUCCAGGCUGGGAAGGGAGACACCAGAAGAGAAAAGUGUGUCUGGGCAGGCCAGGUCUGUUCUCUCCCUCUCCCGGGUGGAGAGGUCACAGAUACCUCCAUCCCAUGGAUGAGGGCAAACUAAAAAGUCCAGAGACAAACAGCUGGUCCUCGCAGCUUCCAGGGUUGGGAGUCAGAGGCUGGGAUGGGUUACGGUUCAGCCUGCUGCACAGGUGAGUCUCCAUCCUUAGCAUCCUGCCAUGCUGACUUCAAAAGACCCUAGUGCGUGGGACCCCAAUGACUCGUUUCGGUGUGCUGGGCUCAAAAUCGUUCGUGGCCAAGCACGUUAGUCUGGAAAAUUUAAGUUGCUGCAGAUUGAUGGACAGAAGGAGAGAUGGUUUUCAAUAUACAGGGAAUGUAUUUUAAAAUGGAGCAAGAGACAGGGCUGCAAGGAGGGAACGGGCACUUCGAAAGCAGCCAGUAGAAAGUCGCUCCUAAUUCUGGGGGAGGGAAUUGUGUUCAGCCUGCAGAGUGCUUUUCUAGUCCAGGCGAUGAUUUGGUCUAAGACUUCAUUAAACAUUUGUCUAUGAGCCCAAAUUUCCCCAAAUGACUGAGGUGUUUGGUAUGAGCACAUUGCAUGCCCCAGGGAGCUUCAACGCCAGCAGCUUCCUGCCACGGUACAGGCAGGUUCUCUAAGCACGAGCUUUCAAUUCAGGCUCCUGUCUAUAGCGAGAACCAGAACACAAUGCAGGGACCCACAGGGGUCAUGUGGCUCCACCAGCCUCAGCCGUUCCCAAAAGCCCAGCUGCUGUUUCAGGGGCUUGCCUGGAUAACUUAUAUCUGAGAGGUUUGCUGCACAUCCUUUGAGUGAUUUAUGGUGAGAUCUAAAAUUUCUUUGUAAAAAGAUACCCUUUUGCUUUGGGAGGGAUCACAAGGAGCUCAGCCCUCCAGUGCCCAGGACCACCUGGGCAGAUGCCACUGUUGGCACUGUAUAAUGUCGCCCCCCAUGCAGACCUGAUCUGAGCUCUGCGUGUCAGGGAAUGCCACUUCAGCAGUGCCAGCCUGGGAGCUCCUCCAGCCGGCACCUACUGAGGCAGCAAAUGACUUUGGGGAGGCCCUUUGGCUGGGUGCAUAGGAGUCUGGGUCCCAGAGACCAUAGCUCACAUGUCUCAGGCUGCUUAUGUACUUCCCCAGAAAGAGCCACUGUCCCAAGUGUGCUUCCUGCUGCUUUUGUGCAGUCCCAUCUAGACGAGCCCCUUAUGGAGACCCCUCCUCUUCUGCCUGGCACCCAAUGCUCCCAUCAUUCAACACCUGCUACCAACACAGAAGCAGUCCAUCCCCUUCUUAAAUGCUACAGCCUCUGCCCCGGCGGCCACUAAUCAUUCUAUUCGAGUUUCCCUCCAGAGCUCAUCUCAGUAAAUCCGGAAGAAGAAAACCUCCAUCCCCAGUGAACAAGACCAUGAAGGCUGCGUCAGUGUUCCCAGGUUUCAAGCCAAGCUGGAGAAAGAUCACAACAGAGACCAGACCCGCAUUCUCCGGCCCAAUUCCACAUGGCUGAGAGAGCCAGCUAACCAGACGCAAACACACGCGGCAGGAUGGCACGCGACUGAGGCAAGGAAUAAGCCUCAACUCAUCAGGCUGAGCACUCCCUGGUCCGAGGUACCCAACAAGCUGACCUGAGAAUGGGCUGCAUCCCCUUCCCUCCCUCCUUCCCUCCUUCCCUCCUCCUCUCCUUCCUCCUCCUCCUCCUCCUCCUCCUCCUCCUCCUCCUCCAGCUGACUCCUUCUGCUGCUGCCUCUGCCGCUGCUGCCUCUGCCGCUGCUGCGGUCUGCAGUCACUUGAAGGAGAAAGAUUUCGCAGUACGGCAUUCUUAAAGCUGCAGUGUCCAAAUUCUCCUUCAAACCCCACUGUCACCGACAUCAGCCAACUUACCGGGGUCCUUCGCAGAGGUGCUGUGCCGGUAAGCCAACGGGGAAGGACCUGGAUGGAGUUCUUAGCGCCCAGAGUUUCUGCAAAGUGCAGGCAGAGGACUCCGGCUUCUUAGGGGAGAAAGCUUUUUAAAACCCAAAGGAAAGGGGAUCUUUCUGCUGGCUAUCCAAGGAGCGUGUCAAUGAGCUGAUCUAGCAUCCAGAAACCAACACACCCCUCCCUGAAAGUUACCUCUCUCCUCUGCUCAGCUGCUGCCGUCCUGCCUGGAUGCUGGCAAGUUCAGACUGCUUCGGGAGAGGCAGGACCCGAAAUAAGAAGUGUCAGCUGGGUCCCUGCACCCAAAUGGUGCCGGGAGUCAAUGCUGCAGGAGGCAGGGAUGGUCUCCCCCACCAUGCACCCGCCCCCCGCCGGUUGAAUUUAAACCCCUGACACUGCAAGAUGCUCACUCCUAUAGAGACACCUCUCCGCGGAGCCUCCUCCCUCCCCCACGCUCUCACACAACUAGGUCCAAAGCUUUGCCCCACCUCCCAGAUUUGUUCACCUGAAGAUGCUUUUCUUGAAAAAACAAAACAAAACAAAAACAAAAACAGAAGAUUGAGACUCUGCAGAGUCUUUAAUCCUUAAUUCUGGAGAAGGCGGGACUUGUUCAAAAGUUUGAGAAUUGCAGCCUGAUGCCCAGGAAGGAGCAGAGGUGAUGAGCCGACAGUCUGCUUUGCACCAGACAAGUUGACACCGUUGCUUUAUCAAGAAGGGCAGAGGUAGACCCGGGGUGAAGAGAAGAGGAAAAUUCCUCUCCAUCCACUGGCAAAUUCUCAACCGUUUGGGAAAUCUCUAUUUUUGUUUUCCUUCAAGAAAACCCCAUUUAAAAAAUUGUCAGGCACAUGAAAUGUUCAAGAUUGCCACUAAGUGUCAAUUUUGUCCUGACACGUCUGUGAUUCUUAAAAUUCCCGUUCCUGCUUCUGUGAAAGUUAAUAGUCUUUAAGAUUGAGGUAGGGAUUUAAUUGAGAAAAUUCCAGGAGAGAGAAGCACUUUAAAUGCAGAUAUGGUUAAGAUAGCGCAUUCUAAUAUAACCCACAAGGGGUUAGGCAGAAUAGAUAUACUGAGAGGUAGAAGGUGGUCAGGAAUGUAGGUAUUUCCAGGUUUUGAGUUUAUCACAAACUCAGAGCCCAAGAAAGGAAAAUAAAGGAGGAAGUGUGUGUGUGUGUGUGUGUGUGUGUGUUUGAGCGGGGAGACUAAAACUCCCCUUCUAAAUAAACUGUUCAGAAAGACCAAUUGCAUCAAUUCCAUGUACAUUUCAUUACUGAAGUAAGACCAGGAGUGUGUGACUUGUUUCUAAACGGAGUGAGAGGGGAGGCUCUGCUGCCCGCAUCCUGCUUGGGACA
RNAcentral lists this long non-coding RNA (4262 nucleotides) under Homo sapiens (human). RNAcentral's name for it is "HSALNT0001422". The record is from RNAcentral. Lineage: Eukaryota; Metazoa; Chordata; Mammalia; Primates; Hominidae.